CACGGGGGGAGCAAGCGUUGUUCGGAAUUACUGGGCGUAAAGGGCGCGUAGGCGGCCUGCUAAGUCGAACGUGAAAUCCCUGGGCUCAACCCAGGAACUGCGUCCGAGACUGGUUGGCUCGAAUCCGGGAGAGGGAUGUGGAAUUCCAGGUGUAGCGGUGAAAUGCGUAGAUAUCUGGAGGAACACCGGUGGCGAAGGCGGCAUCCUGGACCGGCAUUGACGCUGAGGCGCGAAAGCCAGGGGAGCAAACGGG
Molecule: ribosomal RNA, 253 nt
Filed under: uncultured bacterium
Lineage: Bacteria
Description: partial 16S ribosomal RNA
Rfam family: Bacterial small subunit ribosomal RNA
Source: RNAcentral